UAAUACAGAGGUCCCUAGCGUUGUUCGGAUUUACUGGGCGUAAAGGGCACGUAGGUGGCUAGGCGUGUCGCGUGUGAAAUCUCCGGGCCCAACCCGGAAAGUGCGCGCGAAACUACCUGGCUGGAGUACGGGAGAGGGAGUCGGAAUGCAUGGUGUAGCGGUGAAAUGCGUUGAUAUCCUGCAUAACACCGGAGGCGAAGGCGGACUCCUGGAACGUUACUGACGCUAAGGUGCGAAAGUCGGGGGAGCAAACAGGAUUAGAUACCCUGCUAGUCCACCGCCGUAAACGAUGUCGACCAGGAAUUUGACGCCUACGAGGUGUUGGGUUCCAGAACAAACGAAAUAAGUCGACCGGCUGGGGAGUACGGCCGCAAGGUUAAACUCAAAUGAAUUGACCGGGGCCCGCACAAGCGGUGGAGCAUGUGGUUUAAUUCGAUGCAACGCGAAGAACCUUACCUGGUCUUGACAUGGCAGGUAAUCCUGUAGAGAUACCGGGAGUGCCGCAAGGAAACUGCACACAGGUGCUGCAUGGCUGUCGUCAGCUCGUGUCCGUGAGAUGUUGGGUUAAGUCCCGCAACGAGCGCACCCUUAUGACUUGUUGGCAUCAUUUAAGUUGGGCAACUCAAGUCAGAACUGCUGGUGAUAACCGGAGGAAGAUGGGGAUGACCUUCA
This 672-nucleotide ribosomal RNA is filed under the name uncultured rumen bacterium. RNAcentral's name for it is "bacterial SSU rRNA". It matches the Rfam family "Bacterial small subunit ribosomal RNA", at positions 521 to 1188 of the family's 1533-position model. The record is from RNAcentral.